RNAcentral lists this long non-coding RNA (29632 nucleotides) under Triticum aestivum (bread wheat). RNAcentral's name for it is "long non-coding RNA (TAES_LNC007089)". Lineage: Eukaryota; Viridiplantae; Streptophyta; Magnoliopsida; Poales; Poaceae. The record is from RNAcentral.
UAGAUGGAGGUUGCAUGCAUCACAUAUGUUGAGGAGCAAAUUCAUUCAGGUUUGUGUAUUUCAGUUUAUACUGAUUCAUUUUAUUUUCAGAUCAUUGUGUAAUGUUUUCUUAACUAUAUUUUGUUUGGGUCCCAUUUUGUUUCAGAUAAAAAAGAACCCACACCAGCACACUUGUCCACCUAGAGGGGGAGGAGGGAAGGCUAAAACAAAGCUAGCAAAGACUAGGUGGGUGGCAGAUGCAAUUUUGGAUUGGUUGAGAGAAACACCAACACUUGGUCCAACAACACUUCGUGGGAAGCUAUUUGAGAAGUACAAGAUUAAUAUUACCUUACAUGAGGAUUUUCUAUGCUAAGGAAAUGGCUCUUGACAUGAUUAAUGGUCCUUGGAAUGAGAGCUUUCAGUUGCUCUACACAUUUAAAUCUGAAGUGGAAGUUGCUAGUCCAGGGAGUGUUGUAGAGAUUGACAAGCAUACUGUUACAUACAAAAUAAAAGGGAAGUCAUUUCAGAAGGAGUGCUUCAAGAGGGAUUUUUUUGUUUCAAGGCUUGUUGGCAGGGGUUUCUUGAUGGUUCCCGGCCCUAUUUGGCUGUUGAUGCAACUGCUUUGAAUGGAAGGUGGAGAGGACAACUAGUGGCAGCUUCUGUUGUUGAUGGACACAACUGGCUAUUCCCAAAUGCAUUUGGUGUGGUGGAGGCAGAGUCUGAGGAAAGUUGGGUAUGGUUUCUGUAGCAAUUGCGCAACUUUAUAGGUACACCCCUAGGUUUAGCUAUACACACAGAUGCUUGCAAGGGUUUGGAAAGUGCAGUGGAAAUUGUAUUCCCUGGAGUGGAGCAUAGGGAAUGUGUGCGACACCUAGUGCAUAAUUUCAGAAAUAAAUUCAAGGGUAAAGUUUAUGAUGAGAACUUAUGGCCAGCAUCAUACACAUGCAGUGAGAGGAAGCAUGAGCAUCAUUUGAGAGUGUUGUAUGCUCACAAUCGUCUGGUGAAGGAGUACCUAGAUGCACAUCAUGGAAAGUUGUGGUUAAGAAGCGAAUUCAAUGAAAUCUAGAAAGUAGCCUAUGUGACCAGUAACCUGGCAGAGUGUUUCAAUGCAAAGAUCAAGUCAAUGAAAGGGCUUCUAAUAUGGAAAAUAUUUGAUAAGAUUAGGCAGAUGAUCAUGAUAAAGAUGGCUCUUCGUAAAAGAAUAGCAAAAAAUGAAUAUGUUGGCCAUCUUAUGCUCCCAUCUCUUAUUAAGGCAUUGCAUGCCAAGGCAAGAGGACUGAACAAAAAAUGCAUUCCAGCGGCGACACAUGAGGCUGAGGUAACAUAUACUAAUAGUAAAAACAGGGAACGGAGAUAUCUAGUUAACCUAGAAACUAGGGAAUGCAGUUGUAGGCAAUGGCAGCUCCGUGGGAAGCCAUGCAUACAUGCACUACAUCUGAUGACUAUUAUAGGCGGCGAAGAUGGUGAAGUUGAUUAAUACAUUUCUCAAUAUUUUACUAUUGCCAAAUUCAUGGCUGCUUAUGCUUCCAAUGUUCCUGCACUCUUGGGAAAAGAUCAAUGGAACAUAGUAGAUCCAGGGUUCAAACUACAUUCUCAUGUACUGACUAGACAACCAGGAAGACCAAGGAAGAACAGGUACAUAAGAGGCGAAGAGGGUCGAGUAAAAAGACAAUGUAAGUGCCAAAAAUGUGGAACCCUAUGGCACAUUGCUAGGCUAUGUUCCAAUCCGGUGGAUGCUUUAUUUGGAGAAGUGGAACAAUGGGCAGCAACAAAUGCAGAAGAGAAUGCAACACUAGAGUAGAUUGAAGCUAAUAAAGAGGAGAAUGAAGCAGCAAAGCAGAUUGCAGGUCAUGCAGAGGAUAAUGAAGCAACUGAAUUAGCACUGCCAGCAGCUUGGUAUGUAUGCAACAACCUUCCCUUUUUUGUGCAUUUCUUCACUUUUUAUCAAUGGCUUAUAAUCUUUUUUCUGUUUGACCUAGCUCUAGGAAAAUGAGAGGAAAAGGAGAGAAAAUGCCAACAGAGAAAGAAUUUGAAGAAUAUGAAGCCAUGGCUUAUGAAGGUUUUGAACCCUGUCAACUGGCCAGUGGAAGUUCUCCGUUAGCACCUCGACAUCCACCACCUGAAGUGAAGAUCAAAAGGAAGAAGAAAAAUGUGGAUACCCACCUAGGGAAACUAGGAGCAAGGUUGUUAAGCCGUCUCGGAACACAAGGAUCAAGGAAAAGAUGUGAACUUCGAACGUUGAAUGCAAGUUGUAAACUUUAAACUUUAAGGAUUUGUACUAAGGUCUUUGUGGUCAAUUUGAACAAAUGUGAAAACUUGUAAGGUUUAAUAAUGCUAUUUGUACUUUCAUAUGAAAUUUGAGGCAAAAUUUGAAUUUGAGGUAGAAUUUGAAUUUUAGGCAAAAUUUCAAUUUGAACCAACACUUGAACUCCAUUGCCCUCUGGUGUGAUGUUGCAAUGUUUGCUGAACUAUUAUAAAUGUUAGGUGACCAAUCUGAUUUCUUUUGCGUGGUAAAACUUAUAGUCAUGGGAAAUGUACUCCAAGUGAGCUCCGAAGCUAGGGUAAACAGCCCCAUUUGUAAUCAAGUUUUUUUGGACCUACUCUAAAUGAGCCAAAUAUUUUUUUAUUAAUACCUAUUCAAUCUAUAUAGUGUAGAUUCGAAGUCUCACUAUUUAUUGAAUUAAUCUUCAUAUUUUUACACUUUUUUUAAAAAGUGUGCUUUAAUAGAAAACCAUUAAAAACACGUUUAAAAUCUGAAAAUGGAAAACUAAGUUCAUAUCCUUCUUAUUCACUUUGAAAUGAAGCUUUGGUGAUUUUUUAUUUUUUUUUAUUUUAAAAAAACCUAAACCCUACCUCCUCUCCUUGAACUCUCUGCAACGUUGUACGUGAUAGCUCAAAUGUGUGAAGGUUUUUUCAUGAAAAUGCCCAUAGAACAAGAUUAUGAUUUUUUUGUUGGUAACAUGUCACAUAAGACAACAUUGUGCGCAGGUUAUAUAUUUUUCCAAUUUUUUAAAUUAAUGGUGCUCAUUUGACCACGAUCGUGCCAGUUGUUUUUUUAAAUGUCCGUGGACCAAGUUUAGUAUUUUUCCUCGUUAGUGUGUCUUAUAAAAUGAGGAACGACGAAGGCUUCAUUUUUUGUAUUUUUUUUAAAAUUAGUUAUGCUCAGUUGAAUAUUGGUCAAACCCUAGACAACCCCGUUGGCCAAUCAAAACCCCUCUAAACCCGCGAGGUUUCGCCUAACCCUAGAUGCGAACAUCAACCGUCCGAUCAUACCCUAGCGCCAAGAGACAACCCUUAGAUAUGGUCUUCUAGAAGGAAUUCCAAGGCAAGACUGCAUGCAGGCUCCGCACUAUUGGAUCACAUGGACGGCUCUGCAUCUUGGAUCCUUGGGCGAUCCACGAGAGGCGGUCCGCGAGAGGUUGGUUGUGCUCGCCCACCAUUGCCUCACCUUUCUUCUACUUCUUCUUCUGUGGUGACCAGAGGAGCCACUCGUCUUCUUCUUCUUCUCCGGCGACUAGAUAUGUUGAGCUCCAUUUCAGCCUCCAGCCCCUUGUGGCCCUAGUACCAUGCCACCGAAAAGGUUGACUUCAAGGGAGGACAAGAAUGGCAACUUUGGGCGUGAGUUCGUGAAAUGCGAGAGCAAGCCAGAGGGGCAGGUUAGAUCUCAUGAUUUUUCUCUGAUUCUUUUCUCUUUGCUUCUAAUUAUUUUUUGUUGCAUCUAGGAUUUAGGGUUCAUAAUUUUGCUUCAGAUCGUGAAGAAAUGCACACAUUUUGAAUGGCUAUAUGACUAUGUUCGGAGGAUUCAAGGGGAGAGCUUGCUUCAAUUCAAUGGGGCCGCAACCUGGGAGCUCAAUCUAUCGUCAACCACUCAGAAUUUGGUCUCUGAAAGUGCUACUCCGACAGUUGGGGAUGCGGAUCUGAAGGGGAAUUAAAGAAGAAGAACAAGAACUUGAGGCAGUUGAUUCAAUUGAACAAGUAGGCGAAUCUGAUAGCUUUAGGAUUUUAUUUUUGUAUAGUUGCCCUAGGAUUUGCUUACUUGCUGGUCAUCACUCGUUAGAGAUGUUAUUUGUGUCGUGUCAUGUGCUCUAGGAUUUGCUUAAUGGUUUGUGGAUCAUGUGCUCUCUGUGUUGCUUACUUUGUGGAUCAUGUGCUCUUUGUGUUGCUUAAACUAUGUCUCUAUCUCCAUCUCUAAAUCUCUGUAGGUGUUAGUUUUUGACACUUUCAGUUUCUUCAGUUUCGUUAGACAACACCAAGCACAAGAUAAAAAAACAUAGUUCUUGGGCACAAAAUGGAACCAAGCUCUGGUUGGGCCGUUGCAUUACAUUGACUGUUGAAGGCCCACAAAGAUAAAAAAAGGCCUAGAAAAUAGUGCACGCGCUGGCUCUGUUUCCCCCCUGUUUUUUUGCUUGAUUGUUUUGAUUGCACCUAUAGAGAUUGAGUGCACGUUGGUUACAUUACAAAAAUAGGUUACAUCAUUUGAAAUUAUACAAGAAUUGGUAUUGCCACCAACAAGUCAACAAUUAGCAUUUUGUUUCAUGCAAUAUGGCCACCAACAAGUAAAAAUGGGCAACCCUUCAAAAUUUAUUUUUCUCAUGCCAAAUGGCCACAAACUAUUCAAAAAAUAGGUUCUUUUUGUUCAUACAAUACAGGUAUCCUACAAUAUAUAUGGGCACCAACAAUUCCGAAAAAAUUAGCUUCUUUUUCUUGUUAUUUUCAACAUCAACAUGGCUCAUUUUUCUAGCUUUAGUUUCCUUUUUGACAUCUCAACUAGUCCAUUAGCCGUUUGUGCCAAAACUUGGAACCAAUAAAAGAUAUAAGGGCCAAAAUUAUUUUCAUCACGCCAAAUGGCCACAAACUAUGCAAAAAUUAGCUUCUUUUUGUUCAUACAAUAUAUAGGGCCACCAACAAUUCAAAUUUUUUAGCUUUUUCCUUCUUAUUUUCGACAUCAACAUGACUCAUUUUUCUAGCUUUAGUUUCCUUUUUGACAUCUCAACUAGUCCAUUACCCGCACGUGCCAAAACUUGACCCUAAAAUAUUAAGGCCAAAAUACAAAUAUUACAAACAUGAAUAUAACACGCCGAAUGGGCUACCCUCCAACCAUUUUUACUCCCUUUUUACAAUGCUAACCCCAAAACUUGGAGGGAGUGACAUUUUUUCAUUUUUAGACAAUUGUUUUUUGAAAUAUCCAGCGCUUGCUGGUUUUCAUUGAGGGAUACCCUUUCAUUGGUUUAGCAGAAGGAGAGGUUAGAAAAGGGGUAUGUUGGAAGAGAGUUUACAUAGCCGUCUAGGGCUCGGCUGCGACACCAUAUCCAUCUAGCGAUAUCUCACGUCAAAUAAGGGUACAACCAAUGACAUAUAAAAGUAGCAAGCAAAACAUAGAUAACCAACGACAUAUCAAAUAAAAGUAGCAAGCAUAACAUAGUUCUUACAUAAAACAUGAUAAGGUUACUAACAUGAUAUAACACGACAGAGAUAAAAAGUUCACGGUACAACCAAUGACAUAAUUAAGAUAGAAAUAUAUAAAAAGCCUUAACACUCUAGGGAAAGAAAAGCUUCACGAGACCGAGCCUUCACCACCAUCUACACUACGCCUCCUCUUCACUGCUCCUCCUCCAUGUAAUCCUCGCCGAGGUAGUAGGGGAGGCUGUGCAUACCAUUGCGGGUGGGGAAGAUGCUACCGAAGUUCGUGAAGAUGUUGUAGGUGGUGAAUGUGAUGAACUCACACCCACACCAAAACACCUUGCCGAGGAGGUAGUAUGCAUCAAAUCCAUUGGUGAAGUUGGCGAUGAGCCCUAUCGGCGGAGUAGUGGAGUUUGGACGCACCUCCUCAAGUUGGAACAUCACUACUGCAGGAUGCUGCUAACGUGACACUACGAUCAGAGACCCUUUGACGAAACUGUGUGCGGUGCAUUAAUCACAAAUGAGGAUGUAAAACCCCCCGUCAAAAAAGGUGCAAAACGUUUGCGAUGGUAGAGCCAUCAAACACGGUUCAGAUUUUUGUUGCGUGUUGCGUGUGCGAUUCAGGGCACACGGUUAACCCGUUCGAACUGUUUGCGAUGAGGCAGAACAACAGAAACAGGCAGCCAUAUUAAUGUGUGUGUGAUAUACGGCAUACAGUUCACUUUGAUGAACAGUUUGCUAUUAGGGAGUGCAACAGAAAUAGUUAGCCAGAUCAAGGUGUGUGUGAUAUAGGGCAUACGGUUCACUCGGUCGAACUAUUUUCGGUUAGAGAACACAACAGAAACGGUUCAAAUUAACAAGUGUGUGUGACACGUGGCAAACAACCGACUCAACGGCGAGCAACCAUGUGGUCAACCUUCUGCCAUCAAUAAAUUUUGACCUUCUUUCUCGUCACAUUGCAGAUUACAACGUAAUAAGUAAUUGCAAAUCUGUUCAACCUAUCAAACUAAUAUGUGUUCACACUUAGCACUAGGCUAUAAAAACUACCCACUCGAAAAUUACUUCACAAUUCCUCUCCUCAUCACCCACAAAACUAGUCUUUCCUGUCAAGUCAUUCCGCCAUGACUGAUAGGAGGAGUUUAGGGUGGACAUAUAACCAGGCAACAAAGACCAAGGCCGCGGAAGCACUAGAGAGGUCCCUUCGCAAAGCCGCAGCCGCAGCAGAGAUGUCCUGGCGCGCCACGGAGCCCUCGAACAAGCUCUCACGGGCACGCGAGGGCUCUCACAAGCGCAUUCAUGGCGCCGGCCAAUGCGACGAGCUGGCGUUCCUAAAGUCCUUCGCUGACGAUGAUGACAUUCUCGUUGGCGUCACUACAUAGAAGGAGCUGGUCGACGGCUUGAUGAAGCUGCUCAAGAUCAGUGAUGCCUCGGUUGACAAGGCGACCGGCCUCAUCGAACAACUCAUGGGUGACAAUGCGAAGCUCCUCAAGGCGCUCGCCGAGAAGGAUGAGGAGGCCACCGGAUGGAAGAUGCUGCAUGAGCAGAGCAGUGCAUCAGGGAUGACGCUGACAGUGGUCGUCGAGGAACUGAUGGGUGACUUGAGGAAGCUCUGGAUCAAGCGCGAGCAGGAGGUGGUGGAAUCCGUGGCUGCUUUGAAGAAAAGUCAUGAGAAAUUGAAGGAGCUACAGGAUGUUGUUGCCUAGUGAUCCAUCAACGAGUAGAGACAGUAGCGACCCAGAUCGUUGUUUUCAAUUUCCUUCUUCUCUUGCCCCCGUGUCUUCCGGGCUUUGCCGCUUGUGGCAUUUUAAAUAAUCAGGAAUAUGUAAGAUAAUUAUUAUCCGCGCCAUUGUAAAUUUGUCGUUCUAUUAUCCGUUCCCAUUUUAUUUGUGGUCGUAUUAUCCGUUGCCCUAUGUGGCAAUUUAAAUUAGGGCGGAAUACAAGUUGAAAACACGAACAAAGCAAAUGCUACCAUGGGAUCACAAGCAAACACCCUCCGUCCAUGUGCUUUAAUUAACCCAAUAAUGGAGAAGUUGUGAGCGAGGCGGGCGGCGGCCGGUACAUGGAGGUCAAAGAGCUCGCUUCCCGUGAGCAUGGGUGGCCUUGCUGCUCGCACGUGUCCCGUCGAGCCAGCGAGGUAGAUAGGAUGCACGCGUCCCGUCGAGCCUGCAUGGCGGACUGCUCGCAUGCGUCCCGUCGAGCCUGCACGGCGGACUUCUCGUGGUCAUCCCGUCUAAGCAAACAACUGCAUGCACGCCAUCGAGUAUGGUUAAAUUUUGACACGGUUAAUAUAAUACAACCGUUUGCGAUAUUAACGUGUCAGCUUUUUGUUUCAAAAAGGACUUCGUUGGCUACUAAUGUGUGCACCUCUUCUCAAAUUGCAUGAUUUUUUUUACCACGGCAUAUAUGUGCCAUGUCACGAAACCAUGCCAAGCUUCAUGUUUUUUGGGUGAGUUUUGGAUUUAUUUGGAUUUAAAAACCAAGAUUCUCAAUGUUUCAGGACAACGACAAAUUUGUAGUUCAUUCCUAUUCCUUAAAUGAGACCUAAACAUGCACCCAAUGACACAUGUAUGAUUUCCCACCCAUUUUGCUUUACUGGAGCAUGUGCUUGUAGUUCAAAUUUGAAUUAUGGACUACAUUAAAUGCGUAGAUAACUUAGUAAUUAGUAAUAUAUACAAUGGCCAAACGAACCUUGGACAAUUUCAAAUUUCAGCUUGACACCCCUGUUAUUCUAUGUUGCCUAUAGAAAACAAAGUUCAAGGCGAGAAGAGGCAGUGAUUAUUGUUUUGCCCACAAGAGGGGCAUGUUUCCCUACCAGAACCACGAGGGUUGCGACAGGCUCCGGUUUGUAAGAGGCUUGUAAUAUAGCUUCGCCCAAAUUGGACAAUUUUAUGUACCAUGUAGUGAUACCAUGCCAAGUUUCAUGAUUUCCUGUUGAGUUUUGGAUUUACAGAGAUUUAAAAACCGAGAUUCAUAAUGUUUGUGGCCAAGCCAGGACGGCGAGAUGGUUGAAUUCGUUCCCAUUCGUUCCAUGGGACCUAAACAUGCACCCCAUGGAAACAUGUACAUUUUUUCUAGCCAUUUUGGUGCUCUAGAGCAUGUAUUUGUAGUUCCGAUUUGAAUUAUGGACAUUAUAUGCCUAGAAAAUUCAAUUAAUGAAUAAAAAGGUCAAACGAACCCUGAAUAAUUUCAAAGUUCAGCGUGAAUGUCCCGUUGUUCCGUGUCGCAUGUAGAAGAAAAUACGAGGCUAGAAGAGGGAGCGAUUAUUGUUUGGCCCACAAGGGGACACGUUUCCCUAUCGAAACCAUGAGGGUUCUUGCGAUAGGCUCCGUUUUGUAAGAGGUUUGUAAUAAAGCUUGGCCCAAAUUGGCAAUGUUUUUACCACGACAGAUAUGUGCCAUGGCAUGACACCAUGCCAGCUUUGAUGACUUUCUGGUGAGUUUUGAAUUUAUGGGGAUUUAAAAACCGAGUUCAAAAUGUUUGAGGACGAGCCAGGACACCGGUACGGUUGUAAUUCGUUCCCAUUCCUGGCAUGGGACCUAAACAUGCACCCAAGGACACAUGUAUAAUUUUGCUAGCCAUUUUGGUGAACUGGAGCAUGUAUUUGUAGUUCAGAUUUGAAUUAUGGACAUUAAAUGCCUAGGAAACUCAAUUAGUGUAUAAAAAGGCCAACCGAACCCUGAAUAAGUUUAAAUUCAGCACGAAUAUCAUGUCGUUCCAUGUUGCCUGUGGAAGAAAAUACAAGGCGAAAAGAGGCAGUGAUUACGUUUCUCCCACAAGGGGAACAAGUUUCCCUAUCGGAACCACGAGGCUUCUUUGAGAGAAGCACCAUUUUGUAAGAGGUUUGUAAUAAAUCUUGGCCCAAAUUCGACAAUGUUUUUACCACGACAUAUAUGUGCCAUGGCAUGACACCAUGCCACCUUUGAUGACUUUCUGGUGAGUUUAGUAUUUAUGGAAACCGAGAUUCCAAAUGUUUGAGGACGAGCGAGGACGCGGGUACGGUUGUAAUUUGUUCCCAUUCCUGGCAUGGGACCUAAACAUGCACCCAAGGACACAUGUAUAAAUUUUCUAGCCGUUUUGGUGAAUUGGUGCAUGUAUUUGAAGUUCAGAUUUGAAUUAUGGACAUUAAAUGCCUAGGAAACUCAAUUAGUGUAUAAAAAGGCCAAACAAACCCUGAAUAAGUUUAAAUUUCAGCACGGAUAUCCCGUCGUUCCAUGUUGCCCGUAGAAGAAAAUACGAGGCGAAAAGAGGCAGUGAUUACAUUUCGCCCACAAGGGGGACAUGUUUCCCUAUCGGAACCACGAGGCUUCUUUGAGAGAAGCUCCGAUUUGUAAGAGGCUUGUAAUAAAACUUGCGCCAAAAUGGACGAAAAAAUUCCUCGACAUAUAUGUUACAUGUCGUGACACCAUGCCAGGCUUCACAAUUUUUGGCUUAGUUUUGGAUUUACGGGGUUUAAAAACUGAGAUUCUUCUCACGAAAUGUUUUCAAAUAGCACACAAUUCACUCACGAAAGCCGAUAUUCAAUGAAAACAUCGUGGAAACCAUAUUUUAAAGUUUCAUAAAAAUAUGAAAAAAUGUGGGAUGUUAAGAAGGUGAUGUUUUAUUGUGACACAAAACUUCAAGUUGAAAAACAUUACGAGAUGUGAGCUAUGAAAAAGAUAAAUUCAGCCCUGGAUAGCGACAUUACUAUUCGACACUAUUCAACGCUGAUUUUAUCUUUUUCAUAGCUCACAUCUUGUAAUGUGUUUCAACUUGAAAUUUUGUGUGGCUAUAAAACAUAAUCCUCUUAACUUCCCACAUUUUUUUCAAUUUUUUUUGAAAAUUCAAAACAUCUUUUUCUCGUGGUUUUCACCGGUUUCCACCGAAUGUGAGUUUCCGUAUGAUAUUCUUCCCCCCUGCUGCGCGCGCGAUCUGAGUCCUGCGCUCUGAUUGGCCAAAACCCAAACCCCAUAGGUCGUACGUGUGCACCAUUGGAUGCUCCCAGAUUGAACGGCAACCCUAAGCCCUUUCGACAACACAUGUAGUACAUGGGUAAGCACUGUGCACAUGCGUCGUGCUAGCUCACGCUUCCUUCUCUACUAGGUUUUCAAAAUAGGCUACCGUUUCUCGCCACUCCUCUCAUCGAUUUCCCGCCUCUUCUCUUAUCGUUUUCCCACUACCAGUGUCAGUGCUCAUUGAAGUCUAGCGGCGACACACCGGCCAUGUAAAAUAUCCCACAUAGUUUCUAAAAGCACAAAUGUGUGUGAUAGGAGGGAGUAGGUCCCAUAGGGUGACCAGCGUGAAACACCUUAAUGGCAAGGAGGCAAUUCUUAUCAGUAAGGCCCGGCUUCCCAUCCACUAUCCAAGUCGAAUAGAACGCAGAAGUUAAGCAUGCUCUGGCUGGAGUAGUCCAAGGAUGGGUGACCCGGUGGGAAGUUGCAUAUCUCAAGCUUCAUUUAAAUGCCAUGACACGAUCAUUAUAGAGAUAUAUUAUAUCUCUAUAGUGACCUAUGAUGGCAAUUUGAUAAAGCUUGGGAUCCUCGUUUUGCUAAUCUGUAGACUAUGUUUUUAUGGGUUAUUUUUUGCUCUAAAAUUCAAAGAAUGAUUGACUUCACCUGUCAUGGCGAUUAUGUAAACCUACUAUGUUUUUAUGGGUUAUUUUUUCCUCUAAAAAAUUGAAGAAUGAUUGGCUUGACCUGUCAUGGCGAUUAUAUAAAACUUUUUCAGGUUGCAUGCAGGGUAUAGGGGCAGGAUGUUCUUCUCGAUCAUGUCUUCCUUGUGCGGCUUAUAGACGCGACACAUAUCUGUGGGCUCCCCGAGGUAUAUAUACUAUCCUUUACCAAAAAUUAGGGGGGCACACACAAUCUAUCCCUUUGAGCCAACAAUGAGAAGGGUUUGACCAUGAUGGUUUCCUAUUGAUACUAGUAAGGCACACGUGCAUUGCAAGCAUGAGAUUUGGUAACCAAAUUAUGAAUAAAUACCACACUACAGCAUGUAAGCUUUGAGUCAUAUAUUCAUGAUGUAGAUGUUCGUUUAAUUCUUAUAGUUCAUCUCAUCCAAAAUCAAUUAGUUUUAUAAGAAAAUCUAUUUUAAGAUUCAUGGAAUUGUGCAUUGUAAAGCAUAAAGUAAAAACAAAAAGUGACAAUUCAUUUAGAAAAAAAAGUUUGGGUAAUUAAGAUAUGGAAGAUUCUAGAGAACAAAGGAGAAGUGCUUGUGUUUUGAGGUUUGUGCAUUAUGCUUAAGUUCAACCAUGGUGUCCUCUAGAUUGUACAUGUGGCAAAAUCUGGUGGAAUGUAGGUGAAAUCCAACGGCUAGUAGUGCUCGGAUUUGCCAUCUCUAUAUUGUCGGAUUGGCUUUAUCCAAUGACCAACUUUCAAAGUUAGUCGCACACUAUAUAGGGGUAUAGAUAUAGAUAUGUCCCAUGCUAGACCAAAUAAAGUUUGAGCGCAUNNNNNNNNNNNNNNNNNNNNNNNNNNNNNNNNNNNNNNNNNNNNNNNNNNNNNNNNNNNNNNNNNNNNNNNNNNNNNNNNNNNNNNNNNNNNNNNNNNNNNNNNNNNNNNNNNNNNNNNNNNNNNNNNNNNNNNNNNNNNNNNNNNNNNNNNNNNNNNNNNNNNNNNNNNNNNNNNNNNNNNNNNNNNNNNNNNNNNNNNNNNNNNNNNNNNNNNNNNNNNNNNNNNNNNNNNNNNNNNNNNNNNNNNNNNNNNNNNNNNNNNNNNNNNNNNNNNNNNNNNNNNNNNNNNNNNNNNNNNNNNNNNNNNNNNNNNNNNNNNNNNNNNNNNNNNNNNCUCGAAGUUGGGAAACUAACAUCGUAUGUAUUGAACCAGGCUUGGAGUCGGGUACGGCGUUCGGUUUGUAAUGUAGUUGGUGGCACAUCGAAGUUGUGCAUUUGGGAUUUAAACACAUCACACACCACCGUACCUAUACAUAUUUUCGGGCCACAUGCAGUGUAUACAGGGUCUUUUGAUCGACCACGUAUCCCUUGUGCGGUUUUUUUGUGACAACACGCAUAUCCGUGGGCUCCCCGAGUUUAUAUAUAUCACCCCUUUGACCGAUAAUGAGGGGUAUGUGUUGUCCAUGAAUGGAUUCCUCCUAGUUCGUGUUAGGGACGGUCACCGUCAUAUGUCGCUCAACCAAAGCUCGAGCUCAUGCGUUGUCAGGAUUCCCUCCCACAUGCUCGGAUUGCUGGGUUCGACCUACAUCAUACCCUGCGUAUCUCGUCCUUAACUACCUUGCCUUCAUGGUUGUUGUCUGUAUCGAGAGGUAGGCACCACAUCUAAAUUGUACACUAUUCUAUAUUGAAAACACACAUCACCCCUUCCCAACAUACAUCAUUUUGGGCCGCAUGCAAGAGGUGUUGGUUUUGUGGUCCCUCUCAUGCGAUAUUUAGGAUGGUUUAAUCUAUUGGCCCAAGCGGUUUAUCAACAACAACGAUUGUCGUUUGACCAAACGAUAGAUUCAUUGGUCCGUCUUAUGGUACGUCAUGGUGACAUGCAUGUAUGACCAAAGUAUCGAUCAUUACGUGCAUCCGCCCCGCUGACACAAAGUGGGACGUGGUGGGCCAAGCAUCCUAGCUAGGUAUGACAUUAUGUCAUUAUAUACAUAUAUAUAUAUAUAUAUAUAUAUAUAUAUAUAUAAGUGCCACCAAAGUUAUGCAUUGUGUAUUUAAAGUUUUAAACAUCCCCAAUAUUCGUACAUAUAUUUGGCCACUUCCAGGUGGUUCUUGACUUCUGGCCCCUCUCAUCGAUUUUCGACGACACGCCCAACCAUGGCCCCACGCGGUCAAAGUUGUGCAUUGGAAUUUUGAACGUUACAGACCACCCUUUUCACUCAUAUAUAUUUGGGCCACAUGCUGGUGUGGCUGUUUUCUGGCCCUCUCUAACGUUAUUUUUUGCUGCAAAGACUCUGAUGACGCUCAAAGGACACGGGUAUAAUAUCUUAACCGUGUGCGAUACAAGUGCGCUGUGAAUCACCACGCCUACGCAAGAGCGAGCAAAGGUGGAGGUACUGGCUCAACCGUGUGCGAUGCAAGUGCGUUGUAAAAUCACCACGACCGCGCAUGCGCGAGCAAAGGGUGGAGGUACUGACUUAACCGUGUGCGAUGCAAGUGCACUAUAAAACCACCACCUGUGCAAGCUAAAGGUGGGUAAGUUUAUUUGGAAAUUAGGACGAACCGUGUGCGAUAGACCAGCUAGCUAGAAAUAUAAAAACAAACUACCCGCCUUGAGCGUUGCAAAAAUUGGCGGUUCCGCGCCACUUUUCCUUAUUAUCAUACACCCAUAUUGUUAUUGGACUGUGCGCGAUCUUGGGCACUCCCGCCCCGCAUCAGUUCCUUUACCCAAAUUUUAGUAGCCAUCGUACUUCAACUGUCGCCCACACUCCUUCAGCACCAACCUUAUAGUAAAAUUGCAGUAGUCGAGGCAUUUGAACCAUCGCCCUCCCUCGUCCACCACCAUCUCCACCACCAUUACUAAAAUUUUCAGUAGCCACGGCGCAUCCUCAAACACCCCCCGUCCAUAGUCCCCACCCCUCCCCCCUCGAACCCUAGCUCGCGGCCGCCCCCGGUGCCGCCGCCAACCCCUACCGGUGUGCCCAUUCCUCCUAGCUUAGAUAAUAAAGUUCAGGUUACCCAGCGAUUCCCAUACCGCCGCCCCACUCCCCUGAGUUUUUAAAUGAGGCCUGCGGUGUCCUUCCCCACCAGAUCCACAUUCCCUGCUCUAGAAUGUCGCAGCCUAAGAUCGACCACGUAUCUCAGGGAGCCCGACAAGCGUUCGGCCAAGAAGAGGUUUAUCAUGGCCUCUCCGGCGGACGUCGGCGAGGUGGCCGCCAUUCACCCUGACCUGUCAAUCCCGGAGCAACACGUCGCCAUGGAAGCCGGUGAUGACGUUGACUAUGUUGCCAUGCCGAAGGCUUCAUGUCAGCGAGCUAGCGUAUUAAUGUAUCUCGGGAAAGCUGGCUACGACAUCAAGCUCGUCCACAUCGAUGGCUUCACGCGGGCCAUGUCACAGGUUAAGUGGUCCAUCCCCAACCCCUCUGGUUCAACCGCCGUCGAUCUCUUAGACGGCCGUGCUGCUGAUCUCUUCCACCAAGCAGUCAAGGAUUUUCAAGAUUUAUACGCCAUCGAGCCUAUUUUGACAUUUCUGAAGGACACGUUCUAUGGCGGCGGAGGGCACCCACAAAGGUUCUUCCAAGGUGAAACAGCCCAUCUGUGACAUCAGAGAGUGCACCAUGGGUCUGUGCUCUUCCAACGGGAAGGAUCCCGUCCAUGAAAUGUGAGGCAACAUUCUAUCAGCAAAUCUUACCUUUUCUAGGUUGCCAACCCAUACCCUUUGUUGUAGUAGCAUUUGUCGUGCGGUGCUUUAACUGUGCCAUGUUUAAUUAUUUCAGUUAUGCAAAAAUGUAUUGUUCAAUAGGGCUAUGUGAUGUUUAAGUGUGAAUUGUCCACUUCAAUUUCAUGAAUGGCUAUAUUUGGUUGUUUAUAGUGAGUAGAUGCCUUGUUUAUUUGUAUUUGGUUGUUAGGUUGGUUGGAGUGAGCAUUUUUCCAGUUAUUAAGCAGAUGCCUUUUUUAUAUGUAUUUGGUUCUUAGUUUGGUUGCAGUGAGCAUUUGUCCAGUUAUCAAGCAGAUGCCUUGUUUAUCUGUAUUUGGUUGUUAGGUAGCUUUUUUAGCAUUUGUCCAGUUAUCAAGCAGAUGCCUUGUUUAUCUUUAUCCGCUUGUUAGGUUGGUUGCAGUGAGCAUUUGUCCAGUUUUCAAGCAUAUGCCCUGUUUAUCUGUAUUUGCUUGUUAGGUUGGUUGCAGUGAGACUCUAUCCAGUUUUCAAUGGCUAUAUUUGGUUGUUAUACUAGUCAUUUAUGCCUUGUUUAUUCCAGUCAUUCACAAUGUGUUGUUCAUUCUGUGCAAGUCGGAACUGUGCCGCUCGACUACAUCAAUACCAGUUUGAACGGCUAUAUUUGGUUCCAGUUAUUCUUGGUGUAGUUAACACAUGCCCUUUACUUCAGUUUUACACAUUUAUCCAGUGUGAUGUUCAAGCAUUACCUACGUUCUAUUCAUUUUCAACAAUACCAGUUUGAACUGCAAUAUUUGAUGGCUAUUAAGCCUGCUGUCGGUAACAUUGUCUUCCAUUUUAUAUCUGAUUUAACAGCAUACUGAAACCAACACAUUCAAGCUAUCAUUUGGAGAUGUUGUUCUUUACCUUUGCUAUAUUUGUUUGAUGUUAAGGUUGUUGUACUUAUCAUGCCUUUCCACUACUUAUGCAAGACAACAAUGGGAGUGGCCACCAUUUUCCGCCGAGGUUAGCUUCAUCCCUCGGCUUGUAGUCCCCCCGUCAUUCCAUAAUGUAGUGCAUAUAGAGUCAGGCAUGAACACUUGUUAGCUUCUAAUAUUGACUUGUUGCUUGUAGGUACAUAUGCCCUUGGCAAGGAUCCACGCAUCGACACUUUUUGCAUAUGGGGCAACGAGAUAUUCAUGAACAAGCAUCAAGUGAGGAAACUGAUAAGGAUUAUUAGCAAAAAGAUAAGAAUGGCGGCAUGCAAAUUAUUUGUUUAUGCUCUAUCCAACACAACAGUGAGCUGUAGGAUGGUAACUACAAACUCUGCAGCCUUCUCUUUUUACUACCGAUAAUGAGUUGUUAGGCAACAAUAUCUGAAUCUUUUUCGUUCACAGUGGUUCUCGAAAGAGUUCACUCAAGAUUACCUCGCAAAGUGCAUGAUUGGUGGACAUGCAAUGAAGGUUAAAGUAUUCCAUCUAGACUACAAUGAGCAUCAAGAAGUCGUAAUGAAGACAGUGAAGGAUGGACGGGCAACCAUCACAAGGGGUUCGCCUAGAGUCGUGCGUGCAUUACGCAUGGAGGAGGGCACAAUAUGGGCAUUCCGCUUCACCUUCUCCAACAACUAGAAUGUCUUUCGCCUAUUUCUUUACAGUCUUUAGUACAACUGUGGUUCAUCAUUCUUUGCUUUGUGCUUCUAUAGUUCUUCAGUAUAUGUACAUGUGCAUCGAAUUCUGCAUUCGUGGUUGAACCUAUAUUUGUAAUAAACAUGGUUGGAUAUGAAAUAAGUGAUUUCCUACUUCCAAAUUCAAAACAUGUGAUUUUUAAAUUAGGGAUUAAUUAGGGAUUACACUGCACACGGUUUGCAAAACUGAACCGUCUGUUAUAGACGCGGAGAUCAGAAACGUUUCUAGGAUCCAGUACGUGUGCGAUCAAUCUCCACUGCACACACGACAUCCUCUUGAAAACUAUUUGCGUUAGGCCACCUUGCGCAAAUGUUUACCACAUAAAACUGUGUGUGAUGGGCAACCUUUGCCACACAGUUUCUUCUACGCACUGCGUGUGAUGCAUUAAACAACGCAAACGAUAAAAUUGUUAAUAUUGUGUGCAAUGGCAACACUAUCACAAACGAUUUUACAGGAAAAAUUGUGUGUGAUGUACCCAUGAACGGAAAAGUUUUCCUUGGAGCAACUGUGUGGGAUGUACAUACGAACAGAAACGUUUAGCGGGGACUGACUGUGCGGGAUGUACUUGCGACUGAAAACAAUUUCGCCUGUAUAAUUGUAUUUUUUAGCUCUACUAUACGUAUUUCCGUAUUUGAGCUUUCGAUGUUUUCACACAACCUCAUUUUGCCGAGCGUGUCUGUGCCAGGAGGGCAUAUCCCCAACUGUUUCUGUGUCGUGUGGGAUGGACCCCCUAUCGCCGUCAUUCACUAGGUGACGGUUUCAAAUGCCGUCGUGGAAAGGGGUUAAAAACCGUUUGUAUAGCACCGACGCAUACCAGUGCAUCACCGGCGAGCCCACCGGGAGGGGGGGUGAAGCCCUCACUGAGCAACCACUAUGCAAAACCCUGUGCACCCCUCCAACAUGAGAUCUCCCACACGCGGAGUGUUGUCUCCAUGACAAUGCCAGUGGGGUACCACCUCUCCGGCACGGUCGGUGGCAGCUGGAAGGUGGGGCUGUUGUACUGCAUCCUCGCCUUGCUUCAAGUGUGCUUUGGAUUUGGGUGAAGAAGAGAAGGGGCAGCGCAAAAUGGAUGUGUGGAUAAUAGGUGGAGAGGUGGGUGGUUUAAAUAAGGGGAAUGGCACCGGCCGCGUGUCAUGGUGCUAAGUCUGACAGUAAGAGUAGGGGGUACAUAUGAAGAGGCAAGGCUCUAGCUACGGCGAGGUUGUACACACAAGUUUUACGAGUUCAGGACCCUCUCGGAGGAGGUAAAAGCCCUAUGUCUCGGUGCCCUGAGGCGGUCGACUGGAAUAGUGGUGUGUGUGUGUGUGUCACAGGGGGUGCGAAACCUUGUGCCAGAGGAGGGGGUGGCUUAUAUAGAGUGUGCUAGGACCCCAGCCAUCCACCGUUAUAGGUUUCAAUGUAACUUAAGAUAGGGCGUUACUGGUAAUGCUAGCUAGAAAGAGCUAUUAAUGAUCUUUAAGACUACAGAGUGAACGCCUGACCGUUGCCAUCCAGAGUGACUCUAGGUCUUCUGUACUCCAAGUGGUUUCUUGUAUGGUCGAGUGACUUCAUCUUGGUCGAAUGGAAUUGAGGGUAUCUGAGUGAGGUAAUUGGUCGAGUGGAUUGCACUCCAUGGUUACUUCAGUCGGUAUCUCUUGUUAUACUUUGAAUGUCCUUGAUUCUAGGGUAGUGACCUUUGGUAGGGCAUAUAGGUCGGUCCUAUGACCCUACCCUAGGUCCAUGGCAUCGUCAUUAGCCCCCGAAUGGAUUGAGGUCCGAGUGAAAAGAGAGUUGAAGUUGAUCCUGUCCUGAUUUUUAUGCUUCGUAGGCAUUCUUACUGAGUUCGGGAAUCAUGCUGAAACUUCAAAUUUAUUUCAGCCUCCUUGAUCGAUUCCGAGGUCAUCGAGUGAACUAUACUGGCAGUCUUCGAGUGCUGAUAUGGUAGGAAAUCUGUGGAGCAAUCGGUUACUCUGCGGUUGCCGGAUCUCACGGGAUUUGAAACUUUGGGGAAGCGCGCGGGACAAAGCACGCCGCAAUAAACGGGGUGGAUAGAUAGGGGUGCCUCGAUUCUCGCGGCACCUUUUUUGCCACGUUUCAGGCGCGGGACUAUUGCGGGAUUUGACAGGAUUGCUCAGGCCCAUGAGUCAGCCGAUCAGAAGUAGGCUCAUAAAAGGCGUUGAGGCCGAUGUAUUUGCACAGUGCGCAUUAUUCCCCUUCUUCUUCCUCUGCUUCUCCACUGCGUCUUCCUCCACUCUCGACGUUGCCGCCCCGUCCGUGUGCAGUUCACCGCGAUGGUUAAGGACAAGAAAGCGGCCCUGGAGUAUGAAAAGAAAGCGACGGCGAUGGUGAAGGGCAAGAAGACGAGUAAUGGGUCAUCGUCGCGGUCCGGAUUGCCUCCUGGUUGGAUCCAGGGGGACUGGAUUUGGUCCGCGAUUCGGAAAGAAGAUCUGGAGGAUCUGGCCGCCGCGGGCUUGAUUGCUGACGGGUCUUUGAGGCUGCCAGGGAACGAGAUCGAGCCUCAGCCGCAGGAGGGUGAGUGCAUCCUCCUCGCAACUCAUGUCGACCGUGGUUUCUCUCUGCCUCCGCAUCCCUUCUUCCGGGGGUUUCCUGAACUUUUUUGGUGCCCAACUUCACCAUUUUUCUCCCAACACUAUCACAUACCUUGCUGCAUAUGUUUCUCUGUGCGAAAACUUCUUGGGUUGUAGACCGCAUUGGGGUCUAUUCAAACACAUCUUUAGCUGCCGUUCCCAAUCUGUGAAGCGAAUCCGACUGACAAGAGGACGCACGUGAUCCAAAUGUGCGGGGGUUUAGGGAUUCAGAUGAGGGUUAGGAGUACUUUUCCCCCUAUGACACUUCCCGAGUCGGUUAGGGGAUGGCAAUCGACCUGGUUCUACUGCCAAGAUAUUCCGACCCCCGGUCAGUCGACCGGUCUUCCUUCGUUCACCAUGGAUUGAGUCUAGCAACCUUCUUCAUUGAUCGUGACUGCAGCAAAGAAAGUAGAGGUGUCCAUGCUAGUCGUGCGGGUAGUCCAAUUGGUCCAUGAGGGUGUGACUGGCAUGGAUUUGUUGGAGGUGUUUCUCAGUCGACGCAUCCAGCCACUCCAAGCUCGUGAUCAUCCAAUGUGGAUGUACUCGGGCACCAAUGACACCGCUCGGGUCCACCUAGAGGAGGUCCUCGAUGAGACGGUAGCACAGUGGCUACAGAGCAUCACUGGGAACAAAGACAACCCCAGGGGGUCUAGAAGGGUUGCACCAUCCGACCCUGAAAAUGAGCCGGAUAAGGUCUGAUCCUUGUUACCGAGUGUCUUUUUAUUAUGAUUUGCAAAUAUCCUUGAAUUCCGAUUGAUGCUUGUUUAACUUCUUGCCUUGCAGAUUUAUACUAAGAUGUAUGUGAUGCCAAACGGGGAGCAUGUCCAGGAGGGAGUGGAGAGCACAGACGAGAGUGCCGACUGGCAGUGAUGAGUCGGACGAUGGUGAAUAAGUCGACUCACCACCUCCACAGAACGCCGAUCCAAACAGUCUCACAACCCUGCAUGUGGGCGUAACAGGGCAGCUCCUCCAAGCACACAAGUGCAAAAACGCACUUGGACUUCGACUCUGGAACCGUCUGAGAAGGCUGCCAAGUAGCCCAAGGUCGCCCCCACAAAGCCUCGGAAGACCCUGCCCAAGAUCAAGAUGGACGUUCCGUCGCUUAUGCAUGAGUGUUUUGUCUUUCUCUAUGUUACCGUCGACUCAUUCCUCUGUUUGACCAAGUGGGUUCUGAAUCUUUUAGUGCCGCAACUUCUGGGACCUCCAUGGACAUUGACAAGGCUUAAGGUGAUGAGGAAACUGAAGACGCGACCACUUCCAAAGAGGGUAUAAUUCUACAAUCUUGUGCUUGUUUUAUCGGUUGAACUGUCGGUCGACUGAACUCUUAUGGCCGAGUCUUGUGCAGCACCACAAGAUGUCAUUGAACUUCCAGACGACGACGAAGAAGUGCCCCAGAAGAACACAGGAAGAAGGGAAGGACUUCGAGCAGGAGAGUGCCUGCCAGAAAGGUGCCUCAGUCGACAUCAGCGCCAAAAACAGUGAUCCAACAAUCCAGAGAUCCAGUUUGGGCUUAAGUUUCUUUUGCUGAUCCUGUGUCGACUGAUCGUCCUUCGGCGUUGAUCGCUCAAGUCCUUGCUCCGUCCGUGCAACUCCAUGCCACAAAUCCUCUGGCUGCUCCGACUAUUCCACCAACUCCACUCUUUGUUACCCAUCAUAACACAGAAGACCCGUCGGUGCUGCUAAGGAAGCUAUACUCCAAGAGAGCUUUAUGAUGGAUCAAAUGAAGGUGGUGCAUGAGGCUAGCAAGGCUGCCUACGACGCCAGCUCUUCUCUGCAGAUUAAUGUGAACGUCAGUUGAUUUCCGACUGAUCUUUCAGCUUGGUCUCUGUUCUGUUACUAUAUGGUAUUUGGAAACUGCUACUUUAUUAUCCGUAAGAUGUCCGUGGAUGGGUGUUUUGGAACCUUUUAUGUGCAUCUAUCAUGAGUCUGCACUUUAUAUCCAUUCACCCACUGGGUGUUUUAACUUCUGCUUAAUAGUGCUUCCAUUUGAGCCGACCAAGUCAGGUCGAGUGUAUGUUCGAACUAGUGGGGGCACACAGAGUGCACCCACUAGGUGUAGUCCCCGAGACCGUUGUCGAAUGAUUGAUUCGGCGGGAGUCUUUAUCAAAUGUCUCUUUAUAGUUCUUUCACUCGGUGAAACAGAUUGUGCCGAGUGGGAUCCAUACUAGUGGGGGCACACUGAGUGCACUCACUGGGUGUAGUCCCCGAGACCGCGGUCGACUGCGGGCAUUCGGCUGGGGUCUGAGAACCUCUCUCUCUCUCUCACACACUCUCUCUCUCUCUCUCUCUCUCUCUCUAUACUCGUGUUGGGUAGACCAUGCUGAGUGGUAAACCGGACCAGUGGGAGCACGCCAAGUGCACCCACUAGGUGUAGUCCCCGAGACUACUGUUGAAUGUUUGAUUCAGUAGUAGUCUUAGAACACUUUUUACUAUGAUUGACCUUUGUUUCUGUCGACUGACGUGUCUUAUUUGUUGAUUGUAGAAAUCUUGUGAGCUCGGGGCCCAAUUUGCUGAGUUGGAGAAGAAGCAGAUGAGUCUCAACCUCGAUCUGGAGCUGGCCCCAAGUGAAGUUCUAGAAUGAUCUCGAGUCUCUGAUGACUCGACUCAAAGAAAUCCCUAGUCAAGUGCAAGAGUGGAAGAAGUUAUCUACUCGCUAUGGCGCUGAUGUGGCUCUGUCCCUGGUCUUAGUCCAUUGCAAGGAGGUCAAAGAAUAUAAGCUCGCGGCUCUCAAGGUUGACAACACCAAGAAGCUCCAAUUCCAGUCCUUCAUGGAGACCUUCAUCGACGCUGCCACUCAUAUUGCAGACGGCAUUAACCUUGACAGCUUCGUCGAGCCAGCAAGCCCUCCUCCUACUGAGUGAACAAACUUAAUGCCUCACCUUUAUUUGCCUCGGAAUGCCGAGUGAUUUUGUAACCAUUAAACUCUUUCAGGCCUGAUGCCUGAGUACUUCUGCUCGUGGUUUUGAACUUUGCUGGUUUUACCUAAACUUGGUUUUUCCUUGAAUAUGGUUGCUUUGUCUUCACCACUUUUAGAUCUUUUAACUCCGAGUGGAGCUUGAUUUCUCACUCGAAAUAGACAUUGUAUUUGUGACACAGCUCUAAUGAUGUGCUCGAUUGGCACCUUGUCGUCCUUGUAGAUCAGGAUGGAGCGGAUGUUGUACUUGUGACGCAGCUCCGAUGACGUGCUCGAUUGGCACCUCGUCGUCCUUGUGGAUCAGGAUGGAGCGGAUGUUGUACUUGUGCUGCAGCUUAGGGGAUCUUUGUGACUUAGGCGAGAACGGGGUCACAGCUAAGCCUCCGAGUGAGAGGGUUGCUCAUCACUCGGAGUGGUUUUUAAACCUGGGCGAGUACGGGGUCGCAUCUAAGCCCCGGAGUGAGAGGAUUGCUCUCCACUCGGAAUGGUUUUUCAACUUAGGUGAGUACGGGGUCGCAACUAAGCCCCCGAGUGGGAGGAUUGCUCUCCACUCAGAAUAGAUUUUUAACUUAGGCGAGUACGGGGCCGCAUCUAAGCCUCCGAGUGGGAGGAUNNNNNNNNNNNNNNNNNNNNNNNNNNNNNNNNNNNNNNNNNNNNNNNNNNNNNNNNNNNNNNNNNNNNNNNNNNNNNNNNNNNNNNNNNNNNNNNNNNNNNNNNNNNNNNNNNNNNNNNNNNNNNNNNNNNNNNNNNNNNNNNNNNNNNNNNNNNNNNNNNNNNNNNNNNNNNNNNNNNNNNNNNNNNNNNNNNNNNNNNNNNNNNNNNNNNNNNNNNNNNNNNNNNNNNNNNNNNNNNNNNNNNNNNNNNNACUCAGAAUAGUUUUUUAACUUACGCGAGUACGGGGUCACAGCUAAGCCUCCGAGUGGGAGGGUUGCUCUCCACUCGGAAUGGUUUUUCAACUUAGGUGAGUAAGGGGUCGCAGCUAAGCCCCCGAGUGGGAGGAUUGCUCUCCACUCGGAAUAGUUUUUUAACUUAGGCGAGUACGGGUUCACAGCUAAGCCUCGGAGUGGGAGGAUUUCUCUCCACUCGGAAUGGUUUUGAAACCUAGGCGAAUCAAGUUCGCGGCUAAACCUCCGAGGGAGAGGGUUUCUCUUCACUCGGAGUGGUUUUUAAACUUAGGCGAAUCAGGUUCGCGACUAAGCGUCCGAGUGAGAGGGUUGCUCUUCACUCGGAGUGGUUUUGAAACUUAGGCGAAUCAGAUUCGCAGCUAAGCCACCCACUGGGGGAUUUGAGUGUUUAUGGGAAAAUAAUCAUUAAGAUACUGCAAAACUCUUGUCUUUGAUAAGCAAACUGAAGGAUUCUUGUUCCAACUCAUCGAUCUGAGUGGUUUAGGUAUAGAAACGGCGGAGCAGCUCCGCAUUCCACGAGCGUGGCUCAUCUUCUUUCUUGGCUACAUUGUAGAGGUGAUACGCCCCAUUGUGGUGCACCUUGGUGAUGAUGAAGGGACCUUCCCAGGCUGGAGCGAGCUUGUGAGGUCAUUUCUGAUGCACUCGGAGCACAAGGUCUCCUUCCUGGAAUGCUCGACGUCUAACAUUAUGGGCAUGGAAUCGACGCAGGUCUUGUUGGUAGAUGGUCGACCGGAUCAGAGCCAUCUCACAUUCCUCCUCUAGGAGAUCAACUGCAUCUUGGCGUGCCUGUUCUGCCUCAGCUUCUGAGAAGAGUUCCACUCGGGGACCAUUGUGCAGCAAGUCACUCGAAAGCACAGCUUCAGCACCAUACACCAUGAAGAAAGGGGUUCGGUCAAUGGAUCGGUUCGAAAUUGUUCUCAAUCCCCAUAAGACAGAUGGCAACUCAGUCACCCAGGCUCCAGCAGCGUGUUUGAGGUCGCGCAUCACUCGGGGUUUCAGCCCUUGAAGGAUCAAACCAUUCGCCCUUUCUGCUUGCCCAUUGAACUGCGGGUGCGCAAAAGAUGUGUCGGAUAUCGGGUUCCGGCAAAACCCUUAAGGUUCAAACUCUAGGGUGCACACAAAGAUCUUCUUCCUACCGAAACACGCCCAGAACCUCGCCACGAUUUUAAGCCAGCACGAUGAACAACACAAGAGACACGAGGUUUAUACUGGUUCGGGCCAUCGUUGUGGUGUAAUACCCUAAUCCAGUGUGUGGUGUGGUGGAUUGCCUCUUGGGCUGAUGAUGAACAGUAUAGAGGAAGAACAACCUCACGAGAAGAGGUGUUCUUGUUGUGGAGGGUGUUCUGCUUCGUCGGGGUUCAAUCUCUUCCUACUAUGGUGGCUAUCUCUAUAUAUAGAGGCCCUGGUCCUCCUCCCAAAUAUUGAGCGGGAAGGGGGCCAACAACGGCCAUUUUGUAAGGGGACAGCUAGUACAAGCUAUCCUGACUAAAGGUGGUCUUCGACUGCCAAAGGCACUAGCGAUGACGCCGUCUUGGGCUCCACGGUGACCUCCGUCCUGCCGCUCUGCUGGUCUUGAUCUCGUUGCACAGAUAUGGAAACCUUUGCCUGAUUCCUCGGUACUCCGCGCCUGCGCUUUCCCCCUUUGCACCAAAGAGGAAACGAGGACACUACGCAGGCUGGCGCCCGCCUGGUCUUGAUCGUCAUGGCUUGCGUCAUGAGCACCUCGCGAGGUACCCCUUGCCUUGAUCUCUCCGCCUCCUCGCGAGCCUACCUGGUGAGGCCGCCCCUGAGGAGGCCUUGUGUCGUCCGCCCCCCGAGGUUUGGCCCCUCGCGAGGGUCUUGAGUGUUUGUUGAUGAAGACGGGUCGUACUGGGCCACUGCUGAGCCACGCUGCAGGCCGCAGGCAGGCAAGUCUGGGGACCCCCGUUCCCAGAACGCCGACAGUAGCCCCCGGGCCCAAGGCGUGCUCGGACUUGGCUUAGCAGCAAAGCCAAAGGGCAAGUGCGGGGCGCCACGGGCCCCAACAGCCUACGGCCUUGGUCGACGCGUGGCGACUGAUUGGACGUGGGCGUCUCCGCUUCCCCAUGCUCCCCCGAUUCUUCCUGGCUAGGCGGCCACAAAGCUUUUACACAGUUAUUUCCUCUCCGCUGCCCACGUGCUUCCUGUUCCCCUUUCUUCCCCAAGCCUCUGUUUCCGCUUCCAAUCUGACUUGAGAUCUGCCCCUUCCCCCGCCAUGGCGUCGACUAGCAAGGAGAAGGAGAAGCCGAUGGUCAGUUAAGACGCGUUUAAAGUUCGGGUGAACACAUAUAUGAUAUAAGUACUUCGGUACAUAUAAUCGUUAUACAUAAAAUUCUUUUACCCAAGUCACUCGGGGGCUCUUAAAUUUAUGUGAGCUGUUUUAUAAUAAGUGUUCUUCUUCUUAGUUGUUGCAAAGUCUUUUUUCUAUCACUCCUUUUUUCGACGCGAGUGUGUGGUCAAUAGCUGGGGAGCCUAAUUUCUCUCUCAAAGCCGCUAAAAGUUUGCUAAACUGGCCUAACAAGAAGUACUACGCCUUCGGGAUAGGAGGUCGAAGCCGUAGGAUGACCCGCUUGAAGUCUUGAGAUAGGGUGUGUCAUGUUAAAGCACGACAGAAGCACAAUUUUUUUCUAAGACCAAUUUUCUGAUUGGCACCGAACAAUUGAAUUAGUUCGGACAUCGAGUUUUUACUGACGUUUUUGGUUUUCCAAUCCUAUGGCACUUUUCAACUAUUUGUGUGUUUUCCGCAUAAGUCUCGCAGUGCAACGCCGGACACCUUUAGAGAUUCGGCAAAAAUUCUCGGAUAUUGCUAUAUAUGCAUCAGUUUCGAAUUGUGUCUUCGGUCAAUAGUUGGGUUGCCCGGAUCCUUUGCUUGCCGCCUACGUUCCGCUUUGUUCGGCUAGGUGUGCAAAGGGAGAACCACUGCGAUUGUGCUUCCAGCUCGCAUGGUUAAGCACCUAAGUGGAGAAAGCCGAAAACUGACUGUCACAAUAAGCGUAAACUGGUCAGCGGUCCGAUGACUGUAUUAAAUGACGGGCCGUUCAUAACAUUGGCCAAAGUGUUUACGGCUUGACCUCGGCUGUCGCCGAACACUAACCGGGGGGCUACUUGCUGGCCUCCCAACUUUAAGCUCCUAUGACUAAGUGAAAGUUAUAAAUCCCGCAUAUCUGAUUGCCUCGUUUUCGCCAACACAACCUCCUUCGGGCACCGAGACGUCGGCUAAGGGUUGUUUUGUUAUUACGGAAACACCCUGCGUAGCAUCUACAAGGGGGUAGAAGCCGAUGACGGGCAACUUUCAGAUUAUAAACGGUCGCAACGGAAGUGAAAAUUUGGGUUCAUUUAGACCAUAGAGUUUGGAAGCUUUCCCCGAACUAAAUCCUCAGUAUUUUCCUCCCAUAUUGAUCGGAGCUGAGGUUUCAUGAUCAUGCUUAACAUGACAACCCAACGAAAGGAACCGAUAGCGGGACUAUUUUCUUUGGACGAUGUUUCUUAUGUUAAACAAUAAUAUAACAUGUCUCUCUGCAUACCUUUGUUUAUAAAACCGUAUGGCCGGAUUGCCUUGUUUGUCAUAAAUCUUUACCCUCAUAAAGGCUUUAUAAAGUAGGACAAACACCCCUCGGCUGCUGGCCGAGGAGGUUAAAGCCGAUGGUCGGUCAACAAAGUUUUGUACCACUACACCACGAACCCCUCUAUAGCUACGCAUACCUUCCAACGAAAUAGCCAUGUGUUGCUGGGAUUGCAGCUCCCACUUCCCACGACUAUUAAUAACUCCCUACUAUCCAUGCAAAAAAAUAACUCCCUACUACAAUUAAGGAAAUAUCAUUUUUCAAAAAUAAAAAGUAAGGGAAACAACCCACUUCCUCCCGAUAGGUAGGACACCACACACGUCGCCGCUGCCUACCUUCGUUCUAUCGUGUGAUCCCUAAUCCGGAUUCCAACAGAUCGUCUCCGUCCUCCACACUCGGCCNNNNNNNNNNNNNNNNNNNNNNNNNNNNNNNNNNNNNNNNNNNNNNNNNNNNNNNNNNNNNNNNNNNNNNNNNNNNNNNNNNNNNNNNNNNNNNNNNNNNNNNNNNNNNNNNNNNNNNNNNNNNNNNNNNNNNNNNNNNNNNNNNNNNNNNNNNNNNNNNNNNNNNNNNNNNNNNNNNNNNNNNNNNNNNNNNNNNNNNNNNNNNNNNNNNNNNNNNNNNNNNNNNNNNNNNNNNNNNNNNNNNNNNNNNNNNNNNNNNNNNNNNNNNNNNNNNNNNNNNNNNNNNNNNNNNNNNNNNNNNNNNNNNNNNNNNNNNNNNNNNNNNNNNNNNNNNNNNNNNNNCGACCGCCAGCGGCGGUUCAAGCCGGCGACUUGCCGAACCAGAUGGUGAGGAACCUUCUGGAGCAGGAGAGCCUUCAUCGGAGGCAAGACCACCUGCAGCUCCUUCACCUCCAUCCUCGUAGCCAUCGUCUGCUUGUUCGUGCUUGUCCAUCGAUUCCGCCAGUACCACAUCCUCGCCAAGGACUUCUCCAACCUCAACGCCAUGGUAAUUUUGUAUUUUCUCCCCUCUCUCUUUGCUUCCUGCCGGUUCACUCGAUCGGCCCAGGUUGUUGGUAUUUGCGAGACAAGCAGAAUCUCAUGAUGGCUAUUAGAAAUUUAGAAUGGAGACUUGCAAUUCUGGGUGUUUUUGUAGGUAUGCGGUACUACUUUCUGAUUUGUGGCUGGUUGAUGGAACCUGUAUAUUCCCAAUCCUUUGGAAUAGAGAUUCUACUUGUGCUUAGUAAUGGAUUUCAUAUUAUACCUUGGAAGGUGACAACGGAAGAUAAGUUCUGUGACUUGUACGUUCUGCUAAUGACCGACUUUCAGUAAAAAUUAAGGUGUCUGCCUUGUAGAAAAAAUUACCAAUCAUCUAGCAGUUUCCUUUAAGUAUUAUAGUAUUCCUGAUCCACCGUUGUGGUUGUUGGCUUGCACCUUUGUGUAUGUACACGCUAACAGCCGGCUGGCCGCAGCUAAUUACUCAUUAGCCAAUAUGUUAAUGAACUAUCACGAAAUUAGAGAAUCCCAAAGCAAGCAGGCAAUAGCCCAUGUACGGUCAUGGCUGGCUUAUUUUGUUAUUUUGAUGGAUGAAUCGAUCAAAUCGUAACCUGUGUAUGUGCAUGUUCUGCACUUUCACCGGCUGGAUGUAGUAACUUUGGUUCAGAUUUGAUUGUCGCCAUCAUACUAGAGCAUAGUAGCAGCUGGUGCUAGCAGCCGAACGCAUGAGCACUUGGUGCAGCGCCGCAACAUUCGUCUUCACAACAGUGUGUUCGCCGCGCGCCGUCUUCCAUGACGCAUUGAUCCUCGGAGUCUUUGAACUUGGCAUCACAACUCAUGUAAGUCAACCUUAAACUUAAGGUAUAUAAUUACAACUUAAUAUUGUUGUUAGAAAUUUUGAAGAUUGCUGGUCAGUGUUUUUGUUCGAUCUACAUAAAUGUGCUUGCAAGUGCUUAUGAAAUGAAUCCAUCAUUGUUUACAGGGCAAAAAAUUCUUACAUAUUCAUCUUUGGGAAAAAGUUCAGGGCAUAUAUAGCGGGUUACUUCUGUAGAAGGAGGUACGCCUGCAUGAAUAAUGUUGGCUUGUAAAGCUGUAGCUUAUUUAAGUGACAUCUUCUGCAGUGUAACUAAAAAAAUCAUGUUGAAAAGAUUUUGUAUUCACUCAGAUAUAUUACUAUUAUUGUCAAUCAUAUGUAUAUAAAUCAAAAUCACUAGAAAACACACUUGUUAACAUUUAAUACAGCCAGCUUUGUGCGAAUUAUUUUCUAUCAACUUCAAGUAUUUCUGGAAUUUUUUCAAUCUCUGCAUUUAUAUAUGCACUGUUUUGGUAACUACAGAUCUGUGUUUGUAAUGAAGCAUGCUCUAUUUGUCGGCGCACAUAUUUUCUGGGCAUUUACCUCACUGUAUCUUCAUUAUAUUCUUUGUAAGGUGUUUAUUAAUUUAAUUAACAUAUGAAUGGUCUGUUCAUAAGGCUCUCUUUUCUCUGUAUACAGAGUUGAGUGCUAUGGCCGGGACUGUAAAAAAGUGGUCAAAUUAUGAUAUAUCAAAGCCCUUCACACGUGAUGACGUAUGUUGGAUGAUGGAAUGAUUAUUCUGUUCAGUGCUUGCUUUGACUUGGGUGUUCAGAGAAGUAAAACUUCAACUAUCAUGUUUAGUGAAGCAACAUAUUGUAUCUGAAGUGAAACUUUUUGUUUGAUACGAAGAUAUGAGCAUCAAACUAACAUCGAUCUAAAGAUAAGGUAUGCUCAUUUCUCUACUGUUUGGAAUUCAACAUGGUUGAGCAACAAUCUAUUAUUGAUCAUUCCUUUUGCAAUAUGAAUGCUCAUUUUAGUUCCUGCUUAGCUUUAGGAAAUCUAAACAAGAGUGUUGCUCUUGCUACACUCCAAAGUACCGAUCUAGAAUAUAAAACAAAAAUUGUGGGUGUUGAACUUGUUAAUUUAUUCUUGGUUGAUACAACCACUAAAACAAAACUAUUGGUCAUAUAGCAAGAUGAAUUAUCACAUGGCCUUCAAGCUUCGUAUGUUGCUCUUUGUUUGAAUUUUACUACCUUAGUAACUUGAUUUUAUUUCAUGGCACCUUAUUUUUCUCAUUUCUUUGUUGUUGUAGAUUUUCAAGAUAAAUCGAUGAUCCAUGGCUCAGAAGUCGAUUGCAAGAUCGAGAGGGUGGCUACUACUAGAUAGUUUUAGAUUAGGUUAUUAGAAUGUCAUUCAGGUCAAUGUUUCAAAUAUUAUGUUUUAGAUGGCUGACAUGUUGAUUGCAAGGUUGAGAAUCAGACUACUACUAGGUAGUUUCACAUACUGUAGUCUUUGUAUCAUGUUCUUUGUAAAGCAACCAAGUUGAUUAAUAUAUGUGACCAUUCUAAUUAUUAUGUUUGUCUCUCCUAUACACUAUCAUCAUUGAUAUAAUAAUUUAGAAUUUUGAUAUACAAAAU